CCUACGGGAGGCUGCAGUGGGGAAUAUUGGGCAAUGGGCGCAAGCCUGACCCAGCAACGCCGCGUGAAGGAAGAAGGUUCUCGGGUUGUAAACUUCUUUUGUCAGGGACGAAGCAAGUGACGGUACCUGACGAAUAAGCCACGGCAAACUACGUGCCAGCAGCCGCGGUAAUACGGAGGUGGCAAGCGUUAUGCGGAUUCACUGGGUGUAAGGGGCGUGUAGGCGGGGAAGCAAGUCAGAUGUGAAAACCAGGGGCUCAACCUGUGGCCGGGCUUUGAACCUGUUUUUCGUGGGUGCUGGGGAGGCAAUCGGAAUUCCGUGUGUAGCGGUGAAAGGCGUGGUUAUGCGGAGGAACACGAGUGGCGAAGGCGGGUUGCUGGACAGUAACUGA
Molecule: ribosomal RNA, 391 nt
Filed under: uncultured bacterium
Lineage: Bacteria
Description: partial 16S ribosomal RNA
Rfam family: Bacterial small subunit ribosomal RNA
Source: RNAcentral